CCGUUCACAGUGGUUUCAACAGGACUUCAGUGAAACCAUUUCAGCGCUGGGAAGGUACGAAGCGGUACAACAGAAUACAGCCCUUGCAGCAGGAAACGCGCGUCAGCAACGCACUUACAAACAUGAAAUAAUGAAGCUUCAUAACCCCAGCCACGCUGGAGGGCUCCUGCCUGAGUUGUUGCCCCGCAGUCGCUAUCCAAUAGCCCAGAGCAACAGUGCUACCAGCUUAGGCCAGGCAGUGACGAUGGGCUCCACUGGUAACAUCAGCAGGAAUGUAGAACAACAAAACCAAAGGGAGUGAAGGCCAAAAAUGCCGCAUUUCCUGACACAUCCUGGAACACAAUAAGAUCGCAUCAAAACGUUGCAGCGCGGCAAAGUUUACACAUCAAUAGCAACACUCAGUCCUGAAUAAGGUGGUGGUAAUGAAUCUUCCCUCUUAAAUUAUGCCAACAGAACAGUCCUGACAGCUUUAUUUAGACCGUGACAUCCUGCCUAUAGACAGGAAUCUGCAGGAGCACAAAAAACAUGACUGGUCCAGCAGAAUUUGUGAGCAGAAAA
Chrysemys picta bellii (western painted turtle) is the source of this 558-nucleotide non-coding RNA. NCBI's taxonomy places the organism in Eukaryota, Metazoa, Chordata, Testudines, Emydidae. The record is from RefSeq and is a predicted model, not a curated record.